GCGGAAGUGGCUCAGAGGUAGAGCAUCGCCUUGCCAAGGCGAGGGUCGCGGGUUCAAGUCCCGUCUUCCGCUCCA
RNAcentral lists this transfer RNA (75 nucleotides) under Caldanaerovirga acetigignens. RNAcentral describes it as "tRNA_Gly_GCC". It matches the Rfam family "tRNA". From Rfam's summary of the family: Transfer RNA (tRNA) molecules are approximately 80 nucleotides in length. Their secondary structure includes four short double-helical elements and three loops (D, anti-codon, and T loops). Further hydrogen bonds mediate the characteristic L-shaped molecular structure. tRNAs have two regions of fundamental functional importance: the anti-codon, which is responsible for specific mRNA codon recognition, and the 3' end, to which the tRNAs corresponding amino acid is attached (by aminoacyl-tRNA synthetases). tRNAs cope with the degeneracy of the genetic code in two manners: having more than one tRNA (with a specific anti-codon) for a particular amino acid; and 'wobble' base-pairing, i.e. permitting non-standard base-pairing at the 3rd anti-codon position. Lineage: Bacteria; Bacillati; Bacillota; Clostridia; Thermosediminibacterales; Thermosediminibacteraceae. RNAcentral also lists the same sequence under 3 other names. The record is from RNAcentral.